Molecule: non-coding RNA, 80 nt
Filed under: Paenibacillus sp.
Lineage: Bacteria; Bacillati; Bacillota; Bacilli; Caryophanales; Paenibacillaceae
Also listed under: 1 other name
Description: ZTP sequence
Rfam family: ZMP/ZTP riboswitch aptamer (pfl RNA motif)
About the family: Previously known as pfl RNA. ZMP is also known as AICAR.
Source: RNAcentral
UUAGGUAUGCGUAACUGGCGAAACGUGGAGUACCACGGGGGAGCGCAUACUUCAUAUGGCCGGUCGCCUGGGCAGAGGUA